Molecule: long non-coding RNA, 1595 nt
Organism: Vulpes vulpes (red fox)
Lineage: Eukaryota; Metazoa; Chordata; Mammalia; Carnivora; Canidae
Source: Ensembl
CUGCGCUGGUGCUGGUGCAGAGAACAUCGUUUCUUGGGGACGAGGCCGAGGCAGGCGUGCUGAAAAUCCGCUCCAGCUGCGCUCCGCACCCGCAUACGUGGAACCAGGACGUAGGGCAUCAGCUGUCCUGAAACGGGGUGGGGGUCCCUUCCUUGCCAAGGGAAAGGUGACAGCCCCUGGCUGUCUGUGCAUUUCCCCCAGCCGAUGGGGACGGCCUGCUGAUGGAGGGUUUUAGAAAACCUCCUUCCCCUCAAGUGAGUGUCCAGCUGCUGGUCCUGCUCCUGUUCUUUAUUUCCAGCUACUCCAGGGGGGCUUUCUCUCAACCUUAGCUCCUAGAACCCCACACCUGGAGGGCUGAGGGCUCUUCUAUUUCCUUCAUAUUCCCAGGCUCACUCCCUCUGACACUGCAGGCCAAUCAUUUGGCUUCUGCUGCCUUUCUCUUCCCACGAAAGGGAUUAGGGGAGAUAAUUCUCCAAGAAAUCUCAAGUGGUUUCAAUCAAAAGCGAGUUUUGAUUCUUCAUCUCUUUUCUUGCAGCUAUUUUGAGUUUUGUGCACCUUGGUUUGCAGAGGCUCAUAAAAAUGCAUGAGUUUCCAGCCUCACAGGUGAGGGCAGAGGUUUCCAAAGAGCAAAGUGGGUUCUGCCUGAGGUAGAGUCAGUAAUCAGUGUUGUUGGCCUUUGGCUCUAUCCACCUUGCCUGCUCUGAGGAGGUCUGUAGUGCGAAUGGAGACACAGACAUGCCUUGUGGUUCCUGUAUUCCAAGAAGAAAGGUUCUCUGCAGGCUCACUCUCCAACCUCCUUUUCCAGCAGGUACCAGAGUCCGUGAAACAAAGCAGUCUGAGGUCUUGGUCUCUUUGGAGUGUUUUCGAGAGAUCUGCAGUUGUCCUGGGUAAGUCAGGCCACGUAGUGGAAGACACGGGAGAUUCAGCUUGGAGCUGUCAGGACCAUAGCAGACUACUAAGGUGCCUUUAUAUAUAACUAGGUAUUCUCCAGGGCGUGUGUGUGUGUGUGUGAAAAUGGGACUGGAUCAAAUUUCGUUUGGGAAAUUCUGCAUUAAAAACCUGCAUUAAAAAAAAAAACUUGCAUUAAGAGACAGGUUUCUUCAGCCUUUAAUAUUGAGAUUUUAUUGUGAAUCUCUUCAGAGGGGUACAUAAUAAUAGGAAGCUUUUCCCAAGCAUCUUUGACCUGGGAAUUCUUCCUCACUGGGAAUCUCUAACAUUUCAAAGGGCACUAAAAUUCCACAAAACCCAGUUUGGGAGAAUGCCGUUUGGAGAAGUCAGAGAAGCCCCAGCUGUCCAGGGUCACCAGCUCCAGUGACACUCAGGUCCUAGCCCAAUGGGCUUCACAUUUGGAGACCUACCUAGUGGGAAUUAACACAAAGGUUUGCUAAGAGUACAUAAAUGCAAGGAUUAAAAAAAAAAUUCUAGGUCCACCACUUCCAUGGGCACAUUUGCCUCUAAUUGCUCUGCAGAGAGCCGGGUGGCAGUGAGCCAUUCCUGCAGGAUGUGGAGCCUCUUUUCUGUUCUUCUUGCACACUGGCUGCCCUUCUUAUGAUGCUCCAUUGCCCCAGGAUACGCAGCUCUCUGGGGUGCCUGAC